UUCCUACGGGGGCAGCAGUAGGGAAUCUUCCGCAAUGGACGAAAGUCUGACGGAGCAACGCCGCGUGAGUGAUGAAGGUUUUCGGAUCGUAAAGCUCUGUUGUUAGGGAAGAACAAGUGCCGUUCAAAUAGGGCGGCACCUUGACGGUACCUAACCAGAAAGCCACGGCUAACUACGUGCCAGCAGCCGCGGUAAUACGUAGGUGGCAAGCGUUGUCCGGAAUUAUUGGGCGUAAAGGGCUCGCAGGCGGUUUCUUAAGUCUGAUGUGAAAGCCCCCGGCUCAACCGGGGAGGGUCAUUGGAAACUGGGGAACUUGAGUGCAGAAGAGGAGAGUGGAAUUCCACGUGUAGCGGUGAAAUGCGUAGAGAUGUGGAGGAACACCAGUGGCGAAGGCGACUCUCUGGUCUGUAACUGACGCUGAGGAGCGAAAGCGUGGGGAGCGAACAGGAUUAGAUAC
Molecule: ribosomal RNA, 457 nt
Filed under: Bacillus sp. (in: firmicutes)
Lineage: Bacteria; Bacillati; Bacillota; Bacilli; Caryophanales; Bacillaceae
Description: bacterial SSU rRNA
Rfam family: Bacterial small subunit ribosomal RNA
Source: RNAcentral